RNAcentral lists this ribosomal RNA (465 nucleotides) under uncultured Klebsiella sp. RNAcentral describes it as "bacterial SSU rRNA". It matches the Rfam family "Bacterial small subunit ribosomal RNA", at positions 338 to 795 of the family's 1533-position model. Lineage: Bacteria; Pseudomonadati; Pseudomonadota; Gammaproteobacteria; Enterobacterales; Enterobacteriaceae. The record is from RNAcentral.
CCUACGGGAGGCAGCAGUGGGGAAUAUUGCACAAUGGGCGCAAGCCUGAUGCAGCCAUGCCGCGUGUGUGAAGAAGGCCUUCGGGUUGUAAAGCACUUUCAGCGGGGAGGAAGGCGGUGAGGUUAAUAACCUCAUCGAUUGACGUUACCCGCAGAAGAAGCACCGGCUAACUCCGUGCCAGCAGCCGCGGUAAUACGGAGGGUGCAAGCGUUAAUCGGAAUUACUGGGCGUAAAGCGCACGCAGGCGGUCUGUCAAGUCGGAUGUGAAAUCCCCAGGCUCAACCUGGGAACUGCAUUCGAAACUGGCAGGCUAGAGUCUUGUAGAGGGGGGUAGAAUUCCAGGUGUAGCGGUGAAAUGCGUAGAGAUCUGGAGGAAUACCGGUGGCGAAGGCGGCCCCCUGGACAAAGACUGACGCUCAGGUGCGAAAGCGUGGGGAGCAAACAGGAUUAGAUACCCUAGUAGUC